UUAAAUUUCCGACAAGGUAAAUACUAAUUUUUAGUGAUGAUAAUAAAUUUAUUUACUGAAAAUAUGUUGAUAAACCCUUGGCUGUCUGAAUUAAUUGAAUUAUUUAUUUAUUUAAACAAUUAAUUUAUUUUAGAUCUUAUUUAUGGAAUAACGUUGUGGGAUAUACUUGAAGAAUCUUACCUUUCAAGAAGUAAAAAUUAGCUUAUAUGAAAAUGAUGAUAAUUCCAGUUCUGCUACUGAUAAAAAUGAACGAAAAUUUAUUAUUCUGAUUUAUAUAUAUAUAUUUUAUUUAAUAUUAAUUUUGUGAUUUCUAUUUUUAGAAUAAUGAAUAUCAGCAUUAUAGACAAUUUCCAAUAAUUUAUUAUGUUAAAAAUAAAUUUGUUAUUGAUUUUUUA
Gordionus sp. m RMFG-2023 is the source of this 395-nucleotide long non-coding RNA. RefSeq lists it as uncharacterized. NCBI's taxonomy places the organism in Eukaryota, Metazoa, Nematomorpha, Gordioida, Chordodea, Parachordodidae. The transcript is spliced from 2 exons. The record is from RefSeq and is a predicted model, not a curated record.